RNAcentral lists this ribosomal RNA (130 nucleotides) under Fukomys damarensis (Damara mole-rat). Lineage: Eukaryota; Metazoa; Chordata; Mammalia; Rodentia; Bathyergidae. The record is from RNAcentral.
GUCUAUGGCCAUACCACCCUGAACACAUCUGAUCUUGGAAGCUAAGCAGGGUCAGGCCUGGUUAGUACUUGGCUGGGAGAUGAUAUGCAUAUGUACCAAUAUCUCAUGAUAAAUGUAUUCAUUAUGUAUC